RNAcentral lists this transfer RNA (72 nucleotides) under Methanosarcinales archaeon. RNAcentral's name for it is "tRNA-Cys". It matches the Rfam family "tRNA". From Rfam's summary of the family: Transfer RNA (tRNA) molecules are approximately 80 nucleotides in length. Their secondary structure includes four short double-helical elements and three loops (D, anti-codon, and T loops). Further hydrogen bonds mediate the characteristic L-shaped molecular structure. tRNAs have two regions of fundamental functional importance: the anti-codon, which is responsible for specific mRNA codon recognition, and the 3' end, to which the tRNAs corresponding amino acid is attached (by aminoacyl-tRNA synthetases). tRNAs cope with the degeneracy of the genetic code in two manners: having more than one tRNA (with a specific anti-codon) for a particular amino acid; and 'wobble' base-pairing, i.e. permitting non-standard base-pairing at the 3rd anti-codon position. RNAcentral also lists the same sequence under 3 other names. The record is from RNAcentral. Lineage: Archaea; Methanobacteriati; Methanobacteriota; Methanomicrobia; Methanosarcinales.
GCCAACGUGGCAGAGCGGCUAUGCGUUCGCCUGCAGAGCGAAUAUAUUUCGGUUCGAAUCCGGACGUUGGCU